GUAUGUACACAUACAUACAUACAUAUAUAUAAAUCAGGAUGACACAGAGAUUAGCAUGGUCCUUGCUCAAGGGUGACAUACAAAUUUAUGAAGCAGUCCAUAUUUUA
This is a small nuclear RNA of Phodopus roborovskii (desert hamster), 107 nucleotides long. The record is from RefSeq and is a predicted model, not a curated record. NCBI's taxonomy places the organism in Eukaryota, Metazoa, Chordata, Mammalia, Rodentia, Cricetidae.